Molecule: ribosomal RNA, 302 nt
Filed under: uncultured bacterium
Lineage: Bacteria
Description: partial 16S ribosomal RNA
Rfam family: Bacterial small subunit ribosomal RNA
Source: RNAcentral
GCAGUAGCCGCGGGAAUACGGAGGGUGCAAGCGUUAAUCGGAAUUACUGGGCGUAAAGCGCACGCAGGCGGUCUGACAAGUCAGAUGUGAAAUCCCCGGGCUUAACCUGGGAACUGCAUUUGAAACUGUCAGGCUGGAGUCUUGUAGAGGGGGGUGGAAUUCCAGGUGUAGCGGUGAAAUGCGUAGAGAUCUGGAGGAAUACCGGUGGCGAAGGCGGCCCCCUGGACAAAGACUGACGCUCAGGUGCGAAAGCGUGGGGAGCAAACAGGAUUAGAUACCCCUGUAGUCCCUGUCUCUUAUAC